Molecule: long non-coding RNA, 586 nt
Organism: Brachypodium distachyon (stiff brome)
Lineage: Eukaryota; Viridiplantae; Streptophyta; Magnoliopsida; Poales; Poaceae
Exons: 4
Source: RefSeq, a predicted model, not a curated record
GCUCGUUUUUUUAGAGGGAGGUUUUCACGCCGUGGUGUUCCCCACCUCUGCCCUCUCCGGCCAGUGGUCAAGGCUCAGUGGCGUGCCGCGCUGAUACACCUUCGUGCAGCUCGGUGCCCUCUGAGAUUUAUGUGUUGAUACGCCUUGCCACUGGAGUAUAAUAUGUUCUCCAUCACAACGGGUGUCCCAUAGGCUUUGGUCCCUUUUUUGUCGCUGAAAAAGAUGGAAGAGAUAGGGAAGUUUGAUCAGAUAUCUACCGUAUGUUGCUACCAGUGCUUGAGAAUGAUCUAAGGGAAAUUGUUGACGGCGGCUCGUUGUUGUUGUUGUUGUUGUAUUUGGGGAUCUGGGUGGUUGUGUUGCCAGGUGCAUCCUGGUGGCGGCAGAUAUGUUUUGAGGUUCGUUGCCAGAGCUAGUUUGUUGGUAUCAUCCCGUGGGUGGUGGGCGCUAUGGUGCGGUGGUUCCGGCUAAGGUUCUCGACGGUGCUUGGAUUCGUCGAUUUGGAUGUUUUUUUUUUUACCGUGUUGGCAUCACACUUAUGCGUUCUUGCUCCUCGUGAUUUAUCUAGUCUUAGGGGAUUUGAAAGGGA